GCGAAAUAGGGAAGCAGGAGAAGGAUGAAAAAGGGGUUAAGUGAGGUGGCUUAGAGAGGUCAGCGUACCUGGUGGCGAGAUUCGGUUCGGUACCAUCGGUGUUCUUCCUUACAAUCGAAGUCAAAAUCGCGGCGGCGACGUCCACGUUCCGAACGGGCGCCCCGUACGGCUACGACGCUGAUUGGACAGCGUAGGCCGCUCCGCUGGUACGCCCGACGCGACGCCCCGUAGGGCUACAACGCCGGUUGGGCAGCAUAGGCCGCUGCCGCUGGUGCGCUCAACGCUACGUCGCCCCCGUUUAACGACGUAGGAUCAUACCGUCACGACCUUGGCCGCAGGUCAAAACGAUGUUGGCCGUUUCUCUUAUGACGCCGGCACCGCACGACGCAGGCCGUCGUGGUCUACGACCCUGGCCGAUACUCCUUACGAUGUAGGUACCAAACCUCUACGACCUUGGCUGCUGAGUGCCACUAAGUUAGUCGGCUGGCUGCCGCCUCCGCCGCACCUAGCAAGUAGGAACGAGUAUGACACGUUCAGUUCCACGCGGUCGUCGGAACGUUGAUCGUGCGACAAGCCGUAGAUGAAGGUUGGCUCAAAAGAAGUACGCUGCUAGCAGGGUACGUUACACUCCAACUUUAAGUUAUUCGACUGGCCUCUGUGACACUGGAAACUCCGAGGCCCCCUGGGAUGUGAUACCUCCAGCUCUUUCCUGCGUUAUACAGCGUCUAACCUCCUCUACCUACCCGGGCAAAGGAGCGGGUGUACCCAUAAUGACCCCCACUCAACUAAUCGAAGAGGAAAUCUCGUCUUUCUGGGUUCGACCGACAGUAAAUACAGUUGUGCCUCCUUCUACUACUCCUGGGUGAACUACUUCGGUAGAUACGAGUUUCUUACUCCGACUCGCUCCUCCUCCACACGUUGGAAACCCUGUAUUAAGACGGGUGCACGAUUGAAACAGCCCCACGGUAAACACUGGGCGGACUGUUCAUGGUACCAACUAGCCGAACAGUACUUUAACGGUUUCUCGGAUAGACACUCAACACCAUAGCUCGGAUUACUUCUUCCGAGUCGACCUUAUACGGAAUGACGUUCCCCGGGCAGUGGUGGACACGCAUGCCACACCUGUGCCCGCCAGCGUGUGUGAAUUCGAGUCAACCCACCUUCUCGAAGGAACAACCGUUCUUAGAAGCACAACCUGUCCGGUAGGAUUAAUAAUAGUUCUUAUGGGUGGCGGUUCCGAACUCCUACUACCAGCAGCAGCUAUAGUAGAUCUUGAUAUAUACACACACCAACAUACUGAUAGAUCAUAACGAAUAGUAUAUGAGGGAGACAAGCCUUAAUGAACAGCGUCUUUAUCUACAUAGAUCUGCAUAAAAUUAAGAUCUAUGUAGGUAAAAGCGCUGUUUAUUAAGGCUUGUCUCCCUCAUACGAUGACAUACUUGGUAUAUACACACACUCCUACGUACAACUGAUAUAUACUCAUGGAUAUUACGAAUUACUAUAACAUACUGAUGCCGUACUGAUAUUUACUC
RNAcentral lists this ribosomal RNA (1532 nucleotides) under Triticum aestivum (bread wheat). RNAcentral's name for it is "partial small subunit ribosomal RNA". Lineage: Eukaryota; Viridiplantae; Streptophyta; Magnoliopsida; Poales; Poaceae. The record is from RNAcentral.